GACGGAAGGUGCAAGCGUUGCUCGGAAUCACUGGGCGUAAAGGGUGCGUAGGCGGCUUGGUGGGUCUGGUGUGAAAGCCCCGGGCUCAGCCCGGGAAGGGCACUAGAAACUGCCGAGCUGGAGUGCCGGAGGGGAGAGUGGAAUUCCUGGUGUAGCGGUGAAAUGCGUAGAUAUCGGGAGGAACACCGGUGGCGAAGGCGGCGACCUGGGUAGAUACUGACGCUGAGGUGCGAAAGCGUGGGGAGCGAUCCGG
Molecule: ribosomal RNA, 253 nt
Filed under: uncultured bacterium
Lineage: Bacteria
Description: partial 16S ribosomal RNA
Rfam family: Bacterial small subunit ribosomal RNA
Source: RNAcentral